RNAcentral lists this ribosomal RNA (250 nucleotides) under uncultured bacterium. RNAcentral describes it as "partial 16S ribosomal RNA". It matches the Rfam family "Bacterial small subunit ribosomal RNA", at positions 57 to 305 of the family's 1533-position model. The record is from RNAcentral.
GCAAGUCGAGGGGUAACAUGAGUGCUUGCACUUGAUGACGACCGGCGCACGGGUGAGUAACGCGUAUACAAUCUACCUUAUACUAGAGUAUAGCCCAGAGAAAUUUGGAUUAAUCCUCUAUAGUCUAUUAAUAUGGCAUCAUAUAAAUAGUAAAGGUUACGGUAUAAGAUGAGUAUGCGUCCUAUUAGUUUGUUGGUAAGGGUAACGGCUUACCAAGACUACGAUAGGUAGGGGCCCUGAGGGGGGGAAU